Gadus chalcogrammus (walleye pollock) is the source of this 686-nucleotide long non-coding RNA. RefSeq lists it as uncharacterized. Lineage: Eukaryota; Metazoa; Chordata; Actinopteri; Gadiformes; Gadidae. The transcript has 3 exons. The record is from RefSeq and is a predicted model, not a curated record.
GGGGGCGUGUAUUUUGAGGAGGCGUGUCUUGUAUGGAGGGCGUGUAUUUAGUCGGCCCUGAUUGGUCUGAUUCACGACGGCGUCUGGCGUCACACAUAGCCUCGUGCAGAGCCAUAAUCUAUUCUAUUUGACAUUUGCGGAUCUCUUCUCUUGUCGAACCUACUCCGGAGAUUUAACGAACUGGUCAACAGCAGUUAGAUAGCAGAAAGAUGAUUGCCUCGAUUGAUUUGAUCCAUCCAACUGUCUGCAAACAUGGAUCUCUGAUGCAGCCAGUGCGGUUGGGAGAUUCUUACGGGUGCCAAGUUUGCAGAAAAUUUGGCGAUUACCCAGCCAUGGUUGCACAUGUUCAAACACAUGACAGAGCAGCCAUAUCUCACAAUGGCUACAAAAUCUAUAGGUGCCAACACAACUGUGCCAACACAAGAUCUCCACACUACCACUGUGUGUGCUCAACCUUUACUGGCAGCAAAAUGUCAUGCAUAAAGCACCUGCAGACCUGCCCUGGCAUGAGGACACCACCUCCAUCUCAAGGCCUCAGCACGCCGAGCCCAAUGCCAGCCACGCACCCGCCACCUCCAUCUCAAGGCCUCAGCACGCCAAGCCCAAUGCCUAUAAUAAAAAAAUGUAGCCUACCCUUAUGGCCCGAGUCAUGUUUCCCUUACUAAGAAUUCCCUAUGGUAUGCAUA